Oncorhynchus keta (chum salmon) is the source of this 1796-nucleotide long non-coding RNA. RefSeq lists it as uncharacterized. The transcript has 2 exons. Lineage: Eukaryota; Metazoa; Chordata; Actinopteri; Salmoniformes; Salmonidae. The record is from RefSeq and is a predicted model, not a curated record.
CUCUCCUGCUCCUCUCCCUGUCCCUCCUCUCCUGCUCCUCUCCCCGUCCCUCCUCUGCUCCUCCUCUCUCCUCCCCUCAGGCCCUCGUUGAGUUGGGCUGUAUCAAGAAGAAGUACGUGACCAGACGUCCCAAACCCUCCCUCUUCUCCCGUCCAGCCCCGUCCUUAUGGUGGGGGAGGAGAGCGAGGGAGAGACGGGGGUGAGGCUGGAGGAGACGGGGGUGAGGCUGGAGGAGACGGGGGUGAGGCUGGAGGAGACGGGGGUGAGGCUGGAGGAGACGGGGUAAGACCGGCUGAGACGACCACUGUGUUCUAUGAGCCAACCAUCGACUGCUGUCUGCGUCUAGGACAGGUUUUACCCCAUGAAAACAACUGGAACCAGUGGGUCCAGUUCGCACAACAUGAGAACAAACAGUAAGGACUGGAGUUUAAACUGAUCUGGGUUCUAAUUCUUUAGUACCUCGCUGUAGUGAAACGUUUUUAUACCGAAAAUGUUUUGCAACAAAAAAAAGUUUCUAUUGUGAAAAAUGAAAGUCAGUCCCUGUCCGUUUGGUUCCCGAUGAUUCUGUUUGGUUCCCUAUGUUUCUGUUUGGUUCCCGAUGUUUCUGUUUGGUUCCCUAUGUUUCUGUUUGGUUCCCUAUGUUUCUGUUUGGUUCCCUAUGUUUCUGUUUGGUUCCCUAUGUUUCUGUUUGGUUCCCUAUGUUUCUGUUUGGUUCCCUAUGUUUCUGUUUGGUUCCCUAUGUUUCUGUUUGGUUCCCUAUGUUUCUGUUUGGUUCCCUAUGUUUCUGUUUGGUUCCCUAUGUUUCUGUUUGGUUCCCUAUGUUUCUGUUUGGUUCCCUAUGUUUCUGUUUCGUUCCCUAUGUUUCCGUUUGGUUCCCUGUGUUUCUGUUUGGUUCCCUAUGUUUCUGUUUCGUUCCCUAUGUUUCUGUUUGGUUCCCUGUGUUUCUGUUUGGUUCCCUAUGUUUCUGUUUGGUUCCCGAUGUUUCUGUUUGGUUCCCGAUGUUUCUGUUUGGUUCCCUAUGUUUCUGUUUGGUUCCCUAUGUUUCUGUUUGGUUCCCUAUGAUUCUGUUUGGUUCCCUAUGUUUCUGUUUGGUUCCCUAUGUUUCUGUUUGGUUCCCUAUGUUUCUGUUUGGUUCCCUAUGAUUCUGUUUGGUUCCCUAUGAUUCUGUUUGGUUCCCUAUGUUUCUGUUUGGUUCCCUAUGUUUCUGUUUGGUUCCCUAUGAUUCUGUUUGGUUCCCUAUGAUUCUGUUUGGUUCCCUGACGUUUCUGUUUGGUUCCCUAUGUUUCUGUUUGGUUCCCUAUGUUUCUGUUUGGUUCCCUAUGUUUCUGUUUGGUUCCCUAUGUUUCUGUUUGGUUCCCUAUGUUUCUGUUUGGUUCCCUAUGUUUCUGUUUGGUUCCCUAUGUUUCCGUUUCGUUCCCUAUGUUUCUGUUUGGUUCCCUAUGUUUCUGUUUGGUUCCCUAUGUUUCUGUUUGGUUCCAUUGAGUUGUUAGUGGAUACACACCAGGACUGCUAGGGGACGGGAGUUUUACUUGAUCACGAUUAAUAGGCCCAGGAGUUAAAACAACAAGUUUCUUCACAGGGGUUAACCCAAAGGUCUUUAGUUCUGACUCUUACCGGACAGCAAGAUUAGAUUUUAGCUUAAAAAAAAAUGCUGUUUUAGUUUGUUGUAGUGACACAGAUCUCUGGGAAUUAGUUUCACAUCUUAGAUGUCCUUUCAGGGGAAAACCUGUUUUUCAUUUCAGUUUUGCUAUUGUUUUCUUGAAAGUGUGAUUUAAUAAAAAAUUCAAAUCGUGAAA